Molecule: long non-coding RNA, 531 nt
Organism: Passer domesticus (house sparrow)
Lineage: Eukaryota; Metazoa; Chordata; Aves; Passeriformes; Passeridae
Exons: 2
Source: RefSeq, a predicted model, not a curated record
UUUUUUUUCUCUCUGAAGGAGGGAAGCGGAAAUCGUGACACUGCGGAAACGUGAAAAAAAAAAAAAAGUUUCAGCAUCCCCAGCUGUGGGGGGCGGCCCCAGCGCCCGCCCCCAGCCCGGGACAAUGGAGCCGGGCAGCCCCUGGCCCCGCCGCUCCGAGCACACAGAACCGCCGGGCGCUGGGGCUCACCCAGCCCAAACCCGCUCACGGCUGAAAUUUCAGGAUCCAAAUGCCACGGCGAACGCUUUAACAUGAAAUUCACAUGGCACAAGAAAAUCUUUCCAAAGGAUGGUUACUGGGUCAUUACAUUUUUACUUGACUUUAAAAGAGAAAGAAGACAACCAUGAAAAUAAUUUUCAUACAGGUAAAAACAUAAUUAAGUUUAGAAAAACACAACAAUUUUCUCCGAAGCUUUAACUGGUGAAACUGCAAUGCUGAAACUGCAUUUGUAAAAGUACAAAACCUUAUGAAUGAUACUGCAGAAACAUCAGUGCACAUGAAAUUCAGAAGUGAGCAUGUGAAAAUGCAAA